Molecule: ribosomal RNA, 410 nt
Filed under: Salmonella enterica
Lineage: Bacteria; Pseudomonadati; Pseudomonadota; Gammaproteobacteria; Enterobacterales; Enterobacteriaceae
Description: partial 23S ribosomal RNA
Rfam family: Bacterial large subunit ribosomal RNA
Source: RNAcentral
GUUAUAUGGUCAAGCGAAUAAGCGCACACGGUGGAUGCCUUGGCGGUCAGAGGCGAUGAAGGACGUGGCAGCCUGCGAAAAGUAUCGGGGAGCUGGCAACAAGCUUUGAUCCGGUAAUGUCCGAAUGGGGAAACCCACCCGCUUGCGGGUAUCCUGCAGUGAAUACAUAGCUGCUGGAAGCGAACCUGGUGAACUGAAAUAUCUAAGUAACCAGAGGAAAAGAAAUCAACCGAGAUUCCGUAAGUAGCGACGAGCGAACGCGGACUAGCCCUUAAGCUGGAUUGGUUCUAGGAAAACGCUCUGGAAAGAGCGGCCAUAGAAGGUGAUAGCCCUGUAUCUGAAAGGGCCAUUCCAGUGAAGACGAGUAGGGCGGGGCACGUGAAACCCUGUCUGAACAUGGGGGGACCAUC